This 1086-nucleotide ribosomal RNA is filed under the name uncultured Microgenomates group bacterium. RNAcentral's name for it is "bacterial SSU rRNA". It matches the Rfam family "Bacterial small subunit ribosomal RNA", at positions 322 to 1443 of the family's 1533-position model. The record is from RNAcentral.
AGACACCGGUCCAUACUUCUACGGGAGCAGCAGUAAAGAAUCUUCGCAAUGGGGGAAACCUGACGAAGCAAUACCGCGUGGGUGAUGACGGUCGUAAGAUGUAAAGCCUUUUCUGAGGGAAGAAUUCUGACGGUACUCAGGAAUAAGCACCGGCUAACUCCGUGCCAGCAGCCGCGGUAAUACGGAGGGUGCAAGCGUUACCCGGGAAUUAUUGGGCGUAAAGCGUCCGCAGGCGGUUUUUUAAGUUAAGUAUUAAAUCUUGGAGCCCAACUUCGAGGCUGUGCUUAAAACUGAAAAACUAGAGUCAUUCAGAGGUGCGUGGAAUUCUGUGUGUAGGGGUAAAAUCCGUAGAUACACAGAGGAACACCAAAAGCGAAGGCAGCGCACUGGGAAUGUACUGACGCUCAUGGACGAAAGCGUGGGGAGCGAACGGGAUUAGAUACCCCGGUAGUCCACGCCGUAAACGAUGGAUACUCGGUGUCAGGGGACUCGACCCCUCUGGUGCCCAAGCUAACGCAUUAAGUAUCCCGCCUGGGGAGUACGGUCGCAAGAUUAAAACUCAAAGGAAUAGACGGGGACCCACACAAGCGGUGGAGCAUCUGGCUUAAUUCGAUAAUGAGCGAGGAACCUCACCUAGGCUUGACAUCCCGAGAAUUCUCUAGAAAUAGAGAAGUGCCUUCUGGAACUCGGUGACAGGUGCUGCAUGGUUGUCGUCAGCUCGUGCCUUGAGGUGUUCGGUUAAGUCCGUGAACGAGCGCAACCCAUGUCCUGUGUUGCUUUUUCACAGGAGACUGCCGAUUCAAAGUCGGAGGAAGGUAUGGACGACGUCAAAUCAGCAUGGCCCUUAUGCCUAGGGCUGCACAGGUGCUACAAUGGCCAAUACAAUAGGUAGCAAUAUCGCAAGAUGGAGCCAAUCCCUAAAGUUGGUCUAAGUUCGGAUUGAGGGCUGCAAUUCGCCCUCAUGAAGUUGGAAUCGCUAGUAACCGUGAAUCAGCAAUAUCACGGUGAAUAUGUUCCUGGGUCUUGUACUCACCGCCCGUCACACUACGGAAGGUGGAGGCACCCGAAGUACCCUUAGCUUCGAGC